Molecule: ribosomal RNA, 1438 nt
Filed under: metagenome
Description: bacterial SSU rRNA
Rfam family: Bacterial small subunit ribosomal RNA
Source: RNAcentral
UCACGGCUCCAGAUCGAACUGCGGCGGCAGGCCUACUUGCAUGAAGUCGAGGCGGAUGAAGGGAGCUUGCUCCUGGAUUCAGCGGCGGACGGGUGAGUAAAUGCCCUAGGAUCUGCCUGGUAGUGGGGAUAACGUCCGAAACGGCGCUGGCCACCGCAUACGUCCUGAGGGAGAAAGUGGGGAUCUUCGGACCUCACGCUAUGAGAGCCUAGGUCGGAUUAGCAUUGUGGGGUAAAGGCCUACCAAGGCGACGAUCCGUAACUGGUCUGGAAGGAUGAUCAGUCACACUGGAACUGAGACACGGUCCAGACUCCUACGGAGAGCAGCAGUGGGAAUAUGGACAAUGGGCGAAAGCCUGAUCCAGCCAUGCCGCGUGUGUGAAGAAGGUCUUGGUUCGGCAAAGCACUUGGUGGGAGGAAGGGCAGUAAGUUAAUACUCUGCUGCUGUUUGGCCAGUCCUGGCCCCGCUGCCAGCAGCCGCGGUAAUACAGAAGGUGCAAGCGUUAAUCAGGAAUUACUGGGCGUAAAGCGCGCAUAGGUGGUUCAGCAAGUUGGACGUGAAAUCCCGGGCUCAACCUGGAACUGCAUCCAAAACUACUGAGCUAGAGUACGGUGAGGGUAGGUGGAAUUUCCUGUGCGGUGAAAUAAAUGCGUAGAAAUGAAGGAACACCAGUGGCGAAGGCGACCACCUGGACUGAUACUGACACGCGCAGGAGCAAACAGGGAUACCCUGGUAGUCCACGCCGUAAACGCGAUGUCGACAGCCGUUGGAUCCUUGAGAUCCUUAGUGGCGCAGCUAACGCGAUAAGUCGACCGCCUGGGGAGUACGGCUUACAAUAACGUUCGACUCAAUGAAUUGGGGGCCCACAAGCGAGUGGAGCAUGGUUUAAUCGAAGCAACGCGAAGAACCUUACCUGGCCUUGACAUGCUGAGAACUUUCCAGAGAUGACUGGUGCCUCGGGAACUCGACACAGGUGCUGCGGCUGUCGUCAGCUCGUGUCGUGAGAUGCUGGGUUAGUCCCGUAACGAGCGCAACCCUUGUCCUAGUUACCAGCACCUCGUGGGCACCUAAGGAGACUGCCGGUGACAAACCGGAGGAAGGUGAGGAUGACGUCAAGUCAUCACGGUUCACGGCCAGGGCUACACACGUGCGCAAUGGUCGGUACAAGGGUUGCCAAGCCGCGAGGUGGAGGCUAAUCCCAUAAAACCGAUCGUAGUCCGGAUCGCAGUCUGCAACUCGACUGCGUGGAAGUCGGAAUCGCUAGUAAUCGUGAAUCAGAAUGUCACGGUGAAUACGUUCCCGGGCCAGCACACACCGCCCGUCACACCGCGGAGUGGUGCUCCAGAAGUAGCUAGUCUAACCGCAAGGGGACGGUUACCACGGGUGAUUCAUGACUGGGGUGAAGUCGGAACAAGGUAGCCGUAGAGACCUGCGGCUG